This 400-nucleotide ribosomal RNA is filed under the name uncultured bacterium. RNAcentral's name for it is "bacterial SSU rRNA". It matches the Rfam family "Bacterial small subunit ribosomal RNA", at positions 355 to 749 of the family's 1533-position model. The record is from RNAcentral.
UCGAGAAUAUUUAGCAAUGGGCGAAAGCCUGACUAUGCGACGCCGCGUGAAGGAUGAAGGUCUUCGGAUCGUAAACUUCUUUUGGCAGGGAAGAACAUUUCGUUUCUAAUCAGGCGAAACUGACGGUACCUGCAGAAUAAGCCACGGCCAACUCCGUGCCAGCAGCCGCGGUAAUACGGAGGUGGCAAGCGUUACUCGGAAUUAUUGGGUGUAAAGGGCAAGUAGGCGGUUUAAUAAGUGGGUGGUGAAAUACUCCGGCUCAAUCGGAGAACUGCCUUCCAAACUGUUAGGCUUGAGUGUGCCAGAGGGAAAUGGAAUUCUCGGUGUAAGGGUGAAAUCUGUAGAUAUCGAGAAGAACACCAGCGGCGAAGGCGAUUUCCUGGGACACUACUGACGCUGA